UACGUAGGUGGCGAGCGUUAUCCGGAUUUGCUGGGCGUAAAGCGCUUGUAGGUGGCUUGGUAAGUUGGGCGUGAAAUCUCCGGGCUUAACUCGGAGAGGCCGUCCAAUACUGUCAGGCUAGAGGAUAUUUGGGGAAAGUGGAAUUCCUGGUGUAGUAGUGAAAUGCGUAGAUAUCAGGAGGAACACCCGUGGCGAAGGCGGCUUUCUAAGAUAUUCCUGACACUGAGAAGCGACAGCUAGGGGAGCAAACAGG
RNAcentral lists this ribosomal RNA (253 nucleotides) under uncultured bacterium. RNAcentral describes it as "partial 16S ribosomal RNA". It matches the Rfam family "Bacterial small subunit ribosomal RNA", at positions 524 to 776 of the family's 1533-position model. The record is from RNAcentral.